This 28-nucleotide small RNA is filed under the name Bombyx mori (domestic silkworm). Its description in RNAcentral is "ovarian small RNA-34345". The record is from RNAcentral. Lineage: Eukaryota; Metazoa; Arthropoda; Insecta; Lepidoptera; Bombycidae.
UGCUUUCGGUUUUGCUUCGAGUGUGGUU